AGGAGUUUCUGGAAGAGUCUUCAUGCUGAGAAGGCUUGACUGAUGUGUGUACUGCUGAGGUGUAUGCUGUGAGAUUUUGCUUCGAUGAGGUGGAGUUGGAUCUUGGUUGGGCUAAGCUGCUAAUACCCUCCUGCGAUGCACAUUGAAACAAAAUCUGGU
This is a long non-coding RNA of Juglans microcarpa x Juglans regia, 159 nucleotides long. RefSeq lists it as uncharacterized. The transcript is spliced from 3 exons. The record is from RefSeq and is a predicted model, not a curated record. NCBI's taxonomy places the organism in Eukaryota, Viridiplantae, Streptophyta, Magnoliopsida, Fagales, Juglandaceae.